Pogonomyrmex barbatus (red harvester ant) is the source of this 1503-nucleotide unclassified non-coding RNA. The record is from RefSeq and is a predicted model, not a curated record. NCBI's taxonomy places the organism in Eukaryota, Metazoa, Arthropoda, Insecta, Hymenoptera, Formicidae.
CAUUUUCCAAAUCUCUGCGCGAUUUUCUUUAAAUCGAGCGGAGAUAGGAAGAAAAAACAUAUCUUCUUCCACAUCUAGGAAAAAAAUUUUAAAUUUAUAUUAUAUUGGUAUUUCUUAAUAUAUACAUCUUCGUAGCGGCAAGAAAACACUUGGAACUUUUAACUUCCGUCUGCGAAUCCGAUGCCAAGGAUCGUUCAAAUUCUCUCAGAGCACGCCAGCCAGAUGCGUUAAAUAUCGAGAUGUUUACAAUAAGAAUGUCACGGCCGCGUUUGUCUCGAACGAAGCUGAAUUUCGCCAUUUUCCCACGCGACCGAUCUCCUCUUUUUCUCUCUUUUUCUAUUACGGAACAGCGCGACAGAAAUAGUCGGAGAACUAAUAUUGGUUUUUAGAUCAGGCGAUUGUUAAUUGCAACUUAGCACCAUGUAAUUUCUGCCUGCUUUCUAAAGCACGCGCUAAAAAUGGUGCGCGCAAAAACGCGGAGCGUGAAGUCGUCCUGGGACGCGAAGCCGCGAAGUCGGCGAUAAGUAGAGUGGACAAGAAAGCAGCCUGCGAAAUCGCGUGCGGAUAUCCUAAUUACUAUAAAUAAUGCGACAGGAUUAUUUAGACCAUUCACCGGCGGUAAUUUCAAGUGAAAAUCCUUUUUAUAAAACAACGCAGCGCGGAUUCGUCACAGAUUUGUCGAAGAUCCACGCUGCGGGUCCGUUUCGUAACUCUGUGCGCGUUGCGAAGAUAAUAUCCUGAUGACAACUUGAUAUGAUAAACUGGGAUCUUUAAUCCCCUCACUUUUCAUCAAGGACGUCGCUUGGCGUGAUGUCUUCACUAUCUUCAGAUCUUCUUCAGCGAGGCGAGGCGCGAUUCGCCGCCGCUUUCCGUUGUUUCAUGGGUGGAAUGGCAUGGCGGGCUCGCCUGCGGUCGCGCUUCUGCAGAAAUCAAGAAGAGGUUUCGAUCCAGCCUGAAAACCAUCCCGCACGUCGUCCCGCGUUUCUCGCCUCACGCAUCUUACCUCGUUACGUCGGGAGGGAGGGAGCAGAAGGAGAAAGACAAGAAAGGCGGUAUAAUGCGGCGGGAAUAAUUUCGUUACGUGUCCUACAAGGCGAGGCGAUCUCGUCGGAUGCCGCCGCUUCUAAAACCGGAAGCGUCAGCGAUCUGUAACCAGCGGCGGAGCGCGUUCGCGCGAGAAUCCGACGGUCUCGUCUGUCUUUCUCUUUCUCUCGUCUCGUUUUUCUCCUCUUUUUUUUUCUCCUCGCCACGCUGAAAGUGUGACUCGACGAGACUUGUGUACGACAGGAGUGACGGACACCUCCGGAGGAAGCCGGCAGCGCGAGUCUGGAUCCGCGCGUGUCCGACCUGCCUCGCGAAACGAGCGAAAGUCCUCUCUUCCUUCCUCGCAUCGGCGCCCCGACGCUGGUGUUCGGCUCGUUCGCAGAACGAAUACCCAGCUGCGUUCCUCACGCACUUUCGCACCGCGCGAACAACACGCGCCGCAGGCAUGUCUAAUGACGU